AUGAACGCUGGCGGCGUGCUUAACACAUGCAAGUCGAACGGAAAGGCCCAAGCUUGCUUGGGUACUCGAGUGGCGAACGGGUGAGUAACACGUGGGUGAUCUGCCCUGCACUUCGGGAUAAGCCUGGGAAACUGGGUCUAAUACCGGAUAGGACGAUGGUUUGGAUGCCAUUGUGGAAAGUUUUUUCGGUGUGGGAUGAGCUCGCGGCCUAUCAGCUUGUUGGUGGGGUAAUGGCCUACCAAGGCGUCGACGGGUAGCCGGCCUGAGAGGGUGUACGGCCACAUUGGGACUGAGAUACGGCCCAGACUCCUACGGGAGGCAGCAGUGGGGAAUAUUGCACAAUGGGCGCAAGCCUGAGGCAGCGACGCCGCGUGGGGGAUGACGGCCUUCGGGUUGUAAACUCCUUUCGCUAGGGACGAAGCGUUUUUGUGACGGUACCUGGAGAAGAAGCACCGGCUAACUACGUG
Molecule: ribosomal RNA, 467 nt
Filed under: uncultured bacterium
Lineage: Bacteria
Description: partial 16S ribosomal RNA
Rfam family: Bacterial small subunit ribosomal RNA
Source: RNAcentral